CUGUAAUGUAUGUUUACAGUUUUGACUGCUGUAUCCCAAUUAUUUUUUACAUUUAUCAACUAUGUCAGUUUCGUUUUUAAUUUGGCAAUAUAACGGAACUAUAAACUGUAUAAAGUUUAGCUAUCCAUAAAACCAGGUCUAACGCUCCAUAUUCUUCAGAAAAUGCUUGUACCAAGUCUGGAAUAUGACAGUUGGUAUCCAUUCGUUUGAUGUGGUUUUUUUUUUUUUUAUUUUGUUAUUUGAUUGAGGGCUUUUCGCUUUGAAUUUUCCAUAGUUCAAGAUUUUUGUGAUAUUACUUUUGUUUUGUAUCAGGUCAGGAUUAUGGCAGUUGUUGGGUUUUUUUCUCUUACUCGUUCCGUUGAUUAAUCAGUUUGAAUGUGUAGGUAUUUAUUGACUUUCUCUUUAUGAAUAUUUCUUUUAAAUUCGGUAUUUUUGUUUUACUUUUUUGCGGGAUUGGUCGAUUUCUGCAAGUUAUGAAAUAUUGACCAUGGAAAAUUUUAAAAAUCCAAAAGUGACAUUAUUUGUUACGCUAACGAAUGUAAC
This 543-nucleotide long non-coding RNA is filed under the name Mytilus galloprovincialis (Mediterranean mussel). Lineage: Eukaryota; Metazoa; Mollusca; Bivalvia; Mytilida; Mytilidae. The record is from RNAcentral.